This 256-nucleotide ribosomal RNA is filed under the name uncultured bacterium. RNAcentral describes it as "partial 16S ribosomal RNA". It matches the Rfam family "Bacterial small subunit ribosomal RNA", at positions 524 to 777 of the family's 1533-position model. The record is from RNAcentral.
UACAGAGGUCUCAAGCGUUUGUUCGGAUUCAUUGGGCGUAAAGGGUGCGUAGGUGGCGGGGUAAGUCAGGUGUGAAAUCUCGGAGCUCAACUCCGAAACUGCACUUGAUACUGCCUUGCUCGAGUACUGGAGAGGAGAUUGGAAUUUACGGUGUAGCAGUGAAAUGCGUAGAUAUCGUAAGGAAGACCAGUGGCGAAGGCGAAUCUCUGGACAGUUACUGACACUGAGGCACGAAGGCCAGGGGGAGCAAACGGGG